This 497-nucleotide ribosomal RNA is filed under the name uncultured bacterium. RNAcentral's name for it is "partial 16S ribosomal RNA". It matches the Rfam family "Bacterial small subunit ribosomal RNA", at positions 28 to 507 of the family's 1533-position model. The record is from RNAcentral.
GAUGAGCGCUGGCGGCGUGCCUAAUACAUGCAAGUCGAGCGAACGGACGAGAAGCUUGCUUUUCUGAUGUUAGCGGCGGACGGGUGAGUAACACGUGGAUAACCUACCUAUAAGACUGGGAUAACUUCGGGAAACCGGAGCUAAUACCGGAUAAUAUUUUGAACCGCAUGGUUCAAAAGUGAAAGACGGUCUUGCUGUCACUUAUAGAUGGAUCCGCGCUGCAUUAGCUAGUUGGUAAGGUAACGGCUUACCAAGGCAACGAUGCAUAGCCGACCUGAGAGGGUGAUCGGCCACACUGGAACUGAGACACGGUCCAGACUCCUACGGGAGGCAGCAGUAGGGAAUCUUCCGCAAUGGGCGAAAGCCUGACGGAGCAACGCCGCGUGAGUGAUGAAGGUCUUCGGAUCGUAAAACUCUGUUAUUAGGGAAGAACAUAUGUGUAAGUAACUGUGCACAUCCUGACGGUACCUAAUCAGAAAGCCACGGCUAACUACGUG